AAUCGUAUAAAAGGAGAGAAAAAAGGCGGUGGAAAAUCAGUCGAGUGAGGAUCUCCGACACGGCAACAACUGCAGCGUACUAUUUGUCAUCAACAGGAUUAUUCAUCGUGCAAUCAUGGUUGUUUAGUUAAACAUGGUGUCGUUGAUGGCUGGGUCGACCACUGGUGUACCGAUGUCUCCUGGGUAUGGAGGAUUCCAAACCGUAACGCCGCCGCCUUACUUCUCAACAACAACAUACGAAACAACCGGUACUACAUCACCAAGGCUCCAGGGUACCACCACAUCUUAUAAUGCCCGAGCUACUACACCGAAGCCCUGAAGUAUAACUCUGCCCCGAGCUACACUACCAAAGAGCCGGAGUACCAAAGAGAGUGAGUUGUUUUUUUCAACAACUGGAUUGUUCAUCGUUUAACCAGUUCAUAAUUAUGGCUAACUAAAGCGUCGUGCUGGUGUUGGGCGUUGUAUGACUCGGUCGACCACUGGUGUACCGAUGUCUUCUGGGUACAGCGGUUAGCCGGAUAGAAAACGCCGCCGCUCUACUACACAACAACAACUUUAACAACCAGUUACUACGCCGAGGCCCACAAGUACUACACCCCUAAGGCGUCGGAGUACCAUAACUUACGCUUCGCCGAGCUACUACACCGAUGCCCCGAAUUAUUACUCUGCCGCGAGCUACACCACCAAGACAGCGGAGUACUACACGGCUACGUAUGCUGCCCUAUCUGACUACACCGAGUCUCCAGCUACUACACCGAGUCUCCAGCUACUACACCGAGUCUC
Daphnia pulex (common water flea) is the source of this 783-nucleotide long non-coding RNA. RefSeq lists it as uncharacterized. Lineage: Eukaryota; Metazoa; Arthropoda; Branchiopoda; Diplostraca; Daphniidae. The record is from RefSeq and is a predicted model, not a curated record. The transcript is spliced from 3 exons.